GCACUGGUGACGAGUCCCAAACAGAACGAAACAGCUCUGUCCAGUGC
Molecule: non-coding RNA, 47 nt
Filed under: Echinostoma caproni
Lineage: Eukaryota; Metazoa; Platyhelminthes; Trematoda; Plagiorchiida; Echinostomatidae
Source: RNAcentral